GACUCCGCUGUCCUGGCGUCGUGAGGGAGCUUGUUCCACCAUUGGGGUGCCAGAGCAGCGAACAGUUUUGACUGGGCUGAGCGGGAACUGUGCUUCCUCAGAGCUUUAGGCUCAAAGUCCUCUGGAGAGGCUGAGAACAGCAGCUGACACUGAAAACAUUACUAAUCAGCAGCACUCAUGAGCUUUAGGCUCAAAGUCCUCUGGAGAGGCUGAGAACAGCUGCUGGCACUGAAAACAUUACUAAUCAGCAGCACUCAUGAGAUGGCUAUGGCUUGCUGAUAGCAUCUGAUCUGAUGAGACUCCCUGGGGUCUAUUUUAAAACCUCUACGGGAUCGGUGUCCCCCCCCACCGGACAGUUGAGCUAACGUGUGCUAAUGUGAUUAGCAUAACCUUUUAAGUAACAAAAACCUUUCCCAGGACAUAGACAUAUUUGAUAUGGGCAGAAAGGUUAAAUUCUUGUUAAUCUACAGUGGGGGGAAAAGUAUUUGAUCCCCUGCUUAUUUUGUACGUUUGCCCACUUACAAAGAAAUGAUCAGUCUAUAAUUUUAAUGGUAGGUUUAUUUGAACAGUGAGACACAGAAUAACAACAAAAAAAUCCAGAAAAACGCAUGUCAAAAAUGUUAUAAAAUUAUUUGAAUUUUAAUCAAAUCAAAUCAAAUUGAUUUAUAUAGCCCUUCUUACAUCAGCUGAUAUCACAAAGUGCUGUACAGAAACCCAGCCUAAAACCCCAAACAGCAAGCAAUGCAGGUGUAGAAGCACGGUGGCUAGGAAAAACUCCCUAGAAAGGCCAAAACCUAGGAAGAAACCUAGAGAGGAACCAGGCUAUGAGGGGUGGCCAGUCCUCUUCUGGCUGUGCCGGGUUGAGAUUAUAACAACACCUGGGCUAGAUGUUCAAAUGUUCAUAAAUGACCAGCAUUGUCAAAUAAUAAUAAUCAUAGUAGUUGUCGAGGGUGCAACAAGUCAGUAACACAAGAGUAAGUGUCAGUUGGCUUUUUCAUAGCCGAUCUUUGAGAGUAUCUCUACCGCUCCUGCUGUCUCUAGAGAGUUGAAAACAGCAGGUCUGGGACAGGUAGCACGUCCGGUGAACAGGUCAGGGUUCCAUAGCUGCAGGCAGAACAGUUGGAACUGGAGCAGAAGCACGGCCAGGUGAACUGGAGAUAGCAAGGAGUCAUCAAGCCAGGUAGUCCUGAGGCAUGGUCCUAGGGCUCAGGUCCUCCGAGAGAGAGAAAGAAAGACAGAAAAAGAGAGAAUUAGAGAGAGCAUAUUUAAAUUCACACAGGACACCGGAAAAGACAAGAUAAAUACUCCAGAUGUGACAGACUGACCCUAGCCCCCCGACACAUAAACUACUGCAGCAUAAAUACUGGGGCUGAGACAGGAGGGGUCAGGAGACACUGUGGCCCCAUCCGAUGAAACCCCCGGACAGGGCCAAACAGGUAGGAUAUAACCCAACUUUGCCAAAGCACAGCCUCCACACCACUGGAGGGAUAUCUCCAACCACCAACAUACCAUCCCGGGACAAGGCCGAGUAUAACCCACAAAGAUCUCCGCCACGGCACAGCCCAAGGGGGGGCGCCAACCCAGACAGGAAGACCACGUCAGUGUCUCAACCCACUCAAGUGACGCACCCCUCCCAGGGACGGCAUGGAAGAACACCAGUAAGCCAGUGCCUCAGCCCCCGUAAUAGGGGUAGAGGCAGAGAAUCCCAGUGGAAAGAGGGGAAACCGGCCAGGCAGAGACAGCAAGGGCGGUUCGUUGCUCCAGUCUUUCCGUUCACCUUCACACCCCUGGGCCAGACUACACUUAAUCAUAGGACCUACUGAAGAGAUAUGUCUUCAGUAAAGACUUAAAGGUUGAGACUGAGUCUGCGUCUCUCACAUGGGUAGGCAGACUAUUCCAUAAAAAUGGAGCUCUAUAGGAGAAAGCCCUGCCUCCAGCUGUUUGCUUAGAAAUUCUAGGAACAAUUAGGAGGCCCGCGUCUUGUGACCGUGGCGUACGUGUAGGUAUGUACGGCAGGACCAAAUCGGAAAGAUAGGUAGGAGCAAGCCCAUGUAAUGCUUUGUAGUUUAGCAGUAAAACCUUGAAAUCAGCCCUUGCCUUAACAGGAAGCCAGUGUAGGGAGGCUAGCACUGGAGUAAUAUGAUCAAAUUUUUUGGUUCUAGUCAGGAUUCUAGCAGCCGUAUUUAGCACUAACUGAAGUUUAUUUAGUGCUUUAUCCGGGUAGCCGGAAAGUAGAGCAUUGCAGUAGUCCAACCUAAAAGUAACAAAGGCAUGGAUUAAUUUUUCUGUGUCAUUUUUGGACAGAAAGUUUCAGAUUUUUGCAAUGUUACAUAGAUGGAAAAAAGCUGUCCUUGAAACAGUCUUGAUAUGUUCUUCAAAAGAGAGAUCAGGGUCCAGAGUAACGCCGAGGUCCUUCACAGUUUUAUUAAUUGUCAGAUUCAACAGAAUAUCUCUUUGUUUCUUGGGACCUAGAACAAGCAUCUCUGUUUUGUCCGAGUUUAAGAGUAGAAAGUUUACAGCCAUCCACUUCCUUAUGUCUGAGACACAGGCUUCUUGCGAGGGCAAUUUUGGGGCUUCACCAUGUUUCAUUGAAAUGUACAGCUGUGUGUCAUCCGCAUAGCAGUGAAAUUUAACAUUAUGUUUUCGAAUGACAUCCCCAAGAGGUAAAAUAUAUAGUGAAAACAAUAGUGGUCCUAAAACGGAACCUUGAGGAACACCGAAAUUUACAGUUGAUUUGUCAGAGGACAAACCAUUCACAGAGACAAACUGAUAUCUUUCCGACAGAUAAGACCUAAACCAGGCCAGAACUUGUCCGUGUAGACCAAUUUGGGUUUCCAAUCUCUCCAAAAGAAUGUGGUGAUUGAUGGUAUCAAAAGCAGCACUAAGGUCUAGGAGCACGAGGACAGAUGCAGAGUCUCGGUCUGACGCCAUGAAAAAGUAAUUUACCACCUUCACAAGUGCAGUCUCAGUGCUAUGAUGGGGUCUAAAACCAGACUGAAGCGUUUCUUGUACAUUGUUUGUCUUCAGGCAGGCAGUGAGUUGCUGCGCAACAGCUUUUUCAAAAAAUUUUGAGAGGAAUGGAAGAUUCGAUAUAGGCUGAUAUUUUUUUUUAUAAUUUCUGGGUCAAGAUUUGGCUUUUUCAAGAGAGGCUUUAUUACUGCCACUUUUAGUGAGUUUGGUACACAUCCGGUGGAUAGAGAGCCGUUUAUUAUGUUCAACAUAGGAGGGCCAAGCACAGAAAGUAGCUCUUUCAGUAGUUUAGUUGGAAUAGGGUCCAGUAUGCAGCUUGAAGGUU
Molecule: long non-coding RNA, 3295 nt
Filed under: Salmo salar (Atlantic salmon)
Lineage: Eukaryota; Metazoa; Chordata; Actinopteri; Salmoniformes; Salmonidae
Description: lncRNA (ENSSSAG00000106704.1)
Source: RNAcentral